GACGAACGCUGGCGGCGUGCUUAACACAUGCAAGUCGAACGGAAAGGCCCUGCUUUUGUGGGGUGCUCGAGUGGCGAACGGGUGAGUAACACGUGAGUAACCUGCCCUUUACUUUGGGAUAACUUCAGGAAACUGUGGCUAAUACCGGAUAGGAGCUCCUGCUGCAUGGUGGGGGUUGGAAAGUUUCGGCGGUUGGGGAUGGACGCGCGGCUUAUCAGCUUGUUGGUGGGGUAGUGGCUUACCAAGGCUUUGACGGGUAGCCGGCCUGAGAGGGUGACCGGCCACAUUGGGACUGAGAUAGGGCCCAGAGUCAUACGGGAGGAAGCAGUGGGGAAUAUUGCACAAUGGGCGGAAGCCUGAUGCAGCAACGCCGCGUGCGGGAUGACGGCCUUCGGGUUGUAAACCGCUUUCGCCUGUGACGAAGCGUGAGUGACGGUAAUGGGUAAAGAAGCACCGGCUAACUACGUG
RNAcentral lists this ribosomal RNA (468 nucleotides) under uncultured bacterium. RNAcentral describes it as "partial 16S ribosomal RNA". It matches the Rfam family "Bacterial small subunit ribosomal RNA", at positions 28 to 507 of the family's 1533-position model. The record is from RNAcentral.